Molecule: ribosomal RNA, 515 nt
Filed under: uncultured bacterium
Lineage: Bacteria
Description: bacterial SSU rRNA
Rfam family: Bacterial small subunit ribosomal RNA
Source: RNAcentral
AGAGUUUGAUCAUGGCUCAGGAUGAACGCUAGCGGCAGGCCUAACACAUGCAAGUCGCGGGGCAGCACGGGUAGCAAUACCUGGUGGCGACCGGCGCACGGGUGCGUAACGCGUAUGCAACCUGCCCCCAUCAGGGGAAUAGCCCGCCGAAAGGCGGAUUAAUGUCCCAUAGGCCCAGGGCGCCGCAUGGCGCUAUGGGUAAAGCUCCGGCGGAUGGGGAUGGGCAUGCGCGCCAUUAGCUAGUUAGGGCGGUAACGGCGCACCAAGGCGACGAUGGCUAGGGGGUCUGAGAGGAUGGUCCCCCACACUGGUACUGAGACACGGACCAGACUCCUACGGGAGGCAGCAGUGAGGAAUAUUGGUCAAUGGGCGGAAGCCUGAACCAGCCAUGCCGCGUGCAGGAUGACGGCCCUACGGGUUGUAAACUGCUUUUCCCCGGGAAGAAUAAGCCCCUCGUGAGGGGUGAUGCCGGUACCGGGGGAAUAAGGAUCGGCUAACUCCGUGCCAGCAGCGGC